GAUGAACGCUGACAGAAUGCUUAACACAUGCAAGUCUACUUGAAUUUGGGUUUUUAACUUAGGUUUGGGUGGCGGACGGGUGAGUAACGCGUAAAGAACUUGCCUCACAGCUAGGGACAACAUUUAGAAAUGAAUGCUAAUACCUAAUAUUAUGAUAAUAGGGCAUCCUAUAAUUAUGAAAGCUAUAUGCGCUGUGAGAGAGCUUUGCGUCCUAUUAGCUAGUUGGUAAGGUAAAGGCUUACCAAGGCGAUGAUAGGUAGCCGGCCUGAGAGGGUGGACGGCCACAAGGGGACUGAGAUACGGCCCUUACUCCUACGGGAGGCAGCAGUGGGGAAUAUUGGACAAUGGAGGAAACUCUGAUCCAGCAAUUCUGUGUGUGUGAAGAAGGUCUUCGGAUUGUAAAACACUUUUAGUUGGGAAGAAACAAAUGACGGU
This 435-nucleotide ribosomal RNA is filed under the name Fusobacteria bacterium oral taxon 220. Its description in RNAcentral is "bacterial SSU rRNA". It matches the Rfam family "Bacterial small subunit ribosomal RNA", at positions 28 to 476 of the family's 1533-position model. Lineage: Bacteria; Fusobacteriati; Fusobacteriota. The record is from RNAcentral.